AACGAACGCUGGCGGCAUGCCUAACACAUGCAAGUCGAACGAGACCUUCGGGGCUAGUGGCGCACGGGUGCGUAACGCGUGGGAACCUGCCCUUAGGUUCGGAAUAACUCCCCGAAAGGGGUGCUAAUACCGGAUAAUGUCUUCGGACCAAAGAUUUAUCGCCUUUGGAUGGGCCCGCGUUGGAUUAGCUAGUUGGUAGGGUAAAAGCCUACCAAGGCGACGAUCCAUAGCUGGUCUGAGAGGAUGAUCAGCCACACUGGGACUGAGACACGGCCCAGACUCCUACGGGAGGCAGCAGUGGGGAAUAUUGGACAAUGGGCGAGAGCCUGAUCCAGCAAUGCCGCGUGAGUGAUGAAGGCCUUAGGGUUGUAAAGCUCUUUUACCCGGGAUGAUAAUGACAGUACCGGGAGAAUAAGCUCCGGCUAACUCCGUG
Molecule: ribosomal RNA, 433 nt
Filed under: uncultured bacterium
Lineage: Bacteria
Description: partial 16S ribosomal RNA
Rfam family: Bacterial small subunit ribosomal RNA
Source: RNAcentral